CCUACGGGUGGCAGCAGUGGGGAAUAUUGGACAAUGGGGGAAACCCUGAUCCAGCGACGCCGCGUGAGUGAAGAAGUAUUUCGGUACGUAAAGCUCUAUCAGCAGGAAAGAAAAUGACGGUACCUGACUACGAAGCCCCGGCUAACUACGUGCCCGCAGCCGCGGUCAUACGUAGGGGGCACGCGUUAUCCGGAGUUAAUGGGUGGAAAGGGAGCGUAGACGGCAGCGCAAGUCUGGAGGGAAAUGCCGGGGCCCAACCCCGGAACUGCUCGGGAAACUGUGAAUCGGGAGUGCAGGAGAGGUAAGAGGAAUGCCUGGUGUAGCGGUGAAAUGCGUAGAUAUCAGGAGGAACACCGGCGGCGAAGGCGGCUUACUGGACUGUAACUGACGUUGAGGCUCGAAGGCGUGGGGAGCAAACAGGAUUAGAGACCCGGGUAGUC
This 440-nucleotide ribosomal RNA is filed under the name uncultured bacterium. Its description in RNAcentral is "partial 16S ribosomal RNA". It matches the Rfam family "Bacterial small subunit ribosomal RNA", at positions 338 to 795 of the family's 1533-position model. The record is from RNAcentral.